GUCAUCCAACUAUGAAAAGUUACAAAAUGGUCAUCUAACUAUUAGUAAAUUUCUUUUUUGGCCACCCAUUAUGAAAAGUUAUAAAAUAGUCAUUCGACUAUUCAAUUUUAUCUUUUCUGGUCAACCAACUUCAUUGGAUGUUUUAGUGUUUUCAUUUUUAUAUUAGCCUGGUGACCAAAAAAGAUAAAAUUGAAUAAUGAUUGAUCAUUUUGUAACUUAUUAUGGUUGAGUAACA
RNAcentral lists this microRNA precursor (235 nucleotides) under Gossypium raimondii (Peruvian cotton). Its description in RNAcentral is "miR8743c stem-loop (gra-MIR8743c)". Lineage: Eukaryota; Viridiplantae; Streptophyta; Magnoliopsida; Malvales; Malvaceae. The record is from miRBase by way of RNAcentral.